RNAcentral lists this ribosomal RNA (465 nucleotides) under uncultured bacterium. Its description in RNAcentral is "partial 16S ribosomal RNA". It matches the Rfam family "Bacterial small subunit ribosomal RNA", at positions 338 to 795 of the family's 1533-position model. The record is from RNAcentral.
CCUACGGGAGGCAGCAGUAGGGAAUCUUCCACAAUGGGCGAAAGCCUGAUGGAGCAACGCCGCGUGGGUGAAGAAGGUCUUCGGAUCGUAAAACCCUGUUGUUAGAGAAGAAAGUGCGUGAGAGUAACUGUUCACGUUUCGACGGUAUCUAACCAGAAAGCCACGGCUAACUACGUGCCAGCAGCCGCGGUAAUACGUAGGUGGCAAGCGUUAUCCGGAUUUAUUGGGCGUAAAGGGAACGCAGGCGGUCUUUUAAGUCUGAUGGGAAAGCCUUCGGCUUAACCGGAGUAGUGCAUUGGAAACUGGUAGACUUGAGUGCAGAAGAGGAGAGUGGAACUCCAUGUGUAGCGGUGAAAUGCGUAGAUAUAUGGAAGAACCCCAGUGGCGAAAGCGGCUCUCUGGUCUGUAACUGACGCUGAGGUUCGAAAGCGUGGGUAGCAAACAGGAUUAGAUACCCGAGUAGUC